ACACGCAUGACACACUGCAUAUCAAUAAGCGGAGGAAAAGAAACUAACAAGGAUUCCCUUAGUAACGGCGAGUGAAGCGGGAAGAGCUCAAAUUUGAAAUCUUCAAGGUUUUACCUUGACGAAUUGUAGUUUAUAGAAGUGUUUUCUGUUAGUAGAGUUGGCUAAAAGUUCUUUGGAAUAGGACAUCAUAGAGGGUGAGAAUCCCGUAUUUGUACAGUUACUUUCUAGCUGUGUGAUACACUUUCAACGAGUCGGAUUGUUUGGGAAUGCAGUCCAAAAUGGGUGGUAAAUUUCAUCUAAAGCUAAAUAUUGGCGAGAGACCGAUAGCGAACAAGUACCGUGAGGGAAAGAUGAAAAGAACUUUGAAAAGAGAGUUAAACAGUACGUGAAAUUGUCAAAAGGGAAGCGUUUGACACCAGUGUUGUUUUUCCGAAAAUCAAUUACGAAUGUUUUGUUUUUAAGAAGUUAUGACUUCAUCGGCUUGCUUCUUUCUUUACGAAACUUUCUUAAUGCACUUUUCGGUUAACAAGUCAACAUCAAUUUCUUUUGUUGUAAAAGGGUAUGAGGAAGGUGGCUUUCUUUUCGGAGAAAGUGUUUAUAGCCUUGUACCUCUGCAAUCGGAGAGAUUGAGGUCUGCAGCGUAGAUCCUUCGGGGUUAGAUACAUUUGUGCUAAGUUAUAGCUUUUCAUAGACAACUUGUUGACUAUGUUUAGUCUUGUAGCUUACUCGCUUAUGCUAUUUUACCUACGCUUAGGAUGUUGAUCUACAGAGCGAGAGU
Molecule: ribosomal RNA, 778 nt
Filed under: uncultured Neocallimastigales
Lineage: Eukaryota; Fungi; Neocallimastigomycota; Neocallimastigomycetes; Neocallimastigales
Description: partial large subunit ribosomal RNA
Rfam family: Eukaryotic large subunit ribosomal RNA
Source: RNAcentral